Molecule: ribosomal RNA, 495 nt
Filed under: uncultured bacterium
Lineage: Bacteria
Description: partial 16S ribosomal RNA
Rfam family: Bacterial small subunit ribosomal RNA
Source: RNAcentral
GACGAACGCUGGCGGCGUGCCUAAUACAUGCAAGUAGAACGCUGAAGGAGGAGCUUGCUUCUCUGGAUGAGUUGCGAACGGGUGAGUAACGCGUAGGUAACCUGCCUGGUAGCGGGGGAUAACUAUUGGAAACGAUAGCUAAUACCGCAUAAGAGUAGAUGUUGCAUGACAUUUGCUUAAAAGGUGCAAUUGCAUCACUACCAGAUGGACCUGCGUUGUAUUAGCUAGUUGGUGGGGUAACGGCUUACCAAGGCGACGAUACAUAGCCGACCUGAGAGGGUGAUCGGCCACACUGGGACUGAGACACGGCCCAGACGCCUACGGGAGGCAGCAGUAGGGAAUCUUCGGCAAUGGACGGAAGUCUGACCGAGCAACGCCGCGUGAGUGAAGAAGGGUUUCGGAUCGUAAAGCUCGGUUGUAAGAGAAGAACGAGUGUGAGAGUGGAAAGUUCACACUGUGACGGUAGCUUACCAGAAAGGGACGGCUAACUACGUG